CAAGGUGGACGAGGAGGACGAGGAUUUGUGCUCGGUAUAACCCGAGGUAGUUCGCGGUGGUUCCGGGUGAUCGAGGUGAGCGAGGAAGAGGACGAGGAUGACGAGGACUUGUACACUUUCUGUGCCCCACCUAGUGAUCCACUAGUAC
Molecule: long non-coding RNA, 148 nt
Organism: Neodiprion fabricii
Lineage: Eukaryota; Metazoa; Arthropoda; Insecta; Hymenoptera; Diprionidae
Exons: 3
Source: RefSeq, a predicted model, not a curated record